GCUAAACGCGAAGAACCUUACCUGGCCUUGACAUGUCUGGAAUCCCGAAGAGAUUUGGGAGUGCCGCAAGGAACCAGAACACAGGUGCUGCAUGGCUGUCGUCAGCUCGUGUCGUGAGAUGUUGGGUUAAGUCCCGCAACGAGCGCAACCCUUGUCCUUAGUUGCCAUCAUUAAGUUGGGAACUCUAAGGAGACCGCCGGUGACAAACCGGAGGAAGGUGGGGAUGACGUCAAGUCCUCAUGGCCCUUACGGCCAGGGCUACACACGUACUACAAUGGUCGGUACAGAGGGUUGCCAAACCGCAAGGUGGAGCCAAUCCCAGAAAGCCGAUCCCAGUCCGGAUCGGAGUCUGCAACUCGACUCCGUGAAGUCGGAAUCGCUAGUAAUCGCGGAUCAACUAUGCCGCGGUGAAUACGUUCCCGGGUCUUGUACACACCG
Molecule: ribosomal RNA, 438 nt
Filed under: uncultured bacterium
Lineage: Bacteria
Description: bacterial SSU rRNA
Rfam family: Bacterial small subunit ribosomal RNA
Source: RNAcentral